Molecule: non-coding RNA, 98 nt
Filed under: Candidatus Cryptoclostridium obscurum
Lineage: Bacteria; Bacillati; Bacillota; Clostridia
Description: Pyrrolysine insertion sequence mttB
Rfam family: Pyrrolysine insertion sequence mttB
Source: RNAcentral
UAGGUUGACAGCAAGUUAAUCGACGCGCAAGCAGCCCACGAAACCACCCUUUCCGCCACAUUGACGGCAUUGGCAGGAGCCAAUAUCAUCUACGGUUU